UACGUAGGGGGCUAGCGUUGUCCGGAAUCAUUGGGCGUAAAGAGCGUGUAGGCGGCCCGGUAAGUCCGCUGUGAAAGUCGGGGGCUCAACCCUCGGAUGCCGGGUGGAUACUGUCGGGCUCGAGUACGGAAGAGGCGAGUGGAAUUCCGUGGUGGUAGCGGUGAAAUGCGCAGAUAGUCAAGGAGGAACACCGUAUUGCGAAGGCAGCCAUCGCUGGGACGUUACUGACGCUGAGACGCGAAGCGUGGGGAGCAAACAGG
Molecule: ribosomal RNA, 260 nt
Filed under: uncultured bacterium
Lineage: Bacteria
Description: partial 16S ribosomal RNA
Rfam family: Bacterial small subunit ribosomal RNA
Source: RNAcentral